This 347-nucleotide ribosomal RNA is filed under the name uncultured bacterium. Its description in RNAcentral is "partial 16S ribosomal RNA". It matches the Rfam family "Bacterial small subunit ribosomal RNA", at positions 338 to 696 of the family's 1533-position model. The record is from RNAcentral.
CCUACGGGAGGCAGCAGUCGAGAAUCAUUCACAAUGGGGGAAACCCUGAUGGUGCGACGCCGCGUGGGGGAAUGAAGGUCUUCGGAUUGUAAACCCCUGUCAUGUGGGAGCAAAUUAAAAAGAUAGUACCACAAGAGGAAGAGACGGCUAACUCUGUGCGAGCCGCCGCGGUAAUACAGAGGUCUCAAGCGUGGUUCGGAAUCACUGGGCGUAAGGCGUGCGUAGGCUGUUUCGUAAGUCGUUUGUGAAAGGCGCGGGAUCAACCGUCGGACGGCACAUGAUCCUGCGAGACUAGAGUGAUGGAGGGGGAACCGGAAUUCUCGGUGUAGCAGUGAAAUGCGUAGAUA